CCCAGACUCCUACGGGAGGCAGCAGUGGGGAAUAUUGCACAAUGGGGGAAACCCUGAUCCAGCGACGCCGCGUGAGUGAAGAAGUAUUUCGGUACGUAAAGCCCUAUCAGCAGGAAAGAAAAUGACGGUACCUGACUAAGAAGCCCCGGCUAACUACGUGCCAGCAGCCGCGGUAAUACGUAGGGGGCAAGCGUUAUCCGGAUUUACUGGGUGUAAAGGGAGCGUAGACGGCAGCGCAAGUCUGGAGUGAAAUGCCGGGGCCCAACCCCGGAACUGCUCUGGAAACUGUGAAGCUGGAGUGCAGGAGAGGUAAGCGGAAUUCCUGGUGUAGCGGUGAAAUGCGUAGAUAUUAGGAGGAACACCAGUGGCGAAGGCGGCUUACUGGACUGUAACUGACGUUGAGGCUCGAAAGCGUGGGGAGCAAACAGGAUUAGAUACCCGGGUACC
This 447-nucleotide ribosomal RNA is filed under the name uncultured bacterium. RNAcentral describes it as "bacterial SSU rRNA". It matches the Rfam family "Bacterial small subunit ribosomal RNA", at positions 330 to 794 of the family's 1533-position model. The record is from RNAcentral.